This 639-nucleotide ribosomal RNA is filed under the name Sugarcane phytoplasma type J. Its description in RNAcentral is "bacterial SSU rRNA". It matches the Rfam family "Bacterial small subunit ribosomal RNA", at positions 746 to 1398 of the family's 1533-position model. Lineage: Bacteria; Bacillati; Mycoplasmatota; Mollicutes; Acholeplasmatales; Acholeplasmataceae. The record is from RNAcentral.
CUGAGGCACGAAAGCGUGGGUAGCAAACAGGAUUAGAUACCCUGGUAGUCCACGCCGUAAACGAUGAGUACUAAGUGUCGGGAUAAAACUCGGUACUGAAGUUAACACAUUAAGUACUCCGCCUGAGUAGUACGUACGCAAGUAUGAAACUUAAAGGAAUUGACGGGACUCCGCACAAGCGGUGGAUCAUGUUGUUUAAUUGAAGAUACACGAAAACCUUACCAGGUCUUGACAUACUCUGCAAAGCUAUAGAAAUAUAGUGGAGGUUAUCAGGGAUACAGGUGGUGCAUGGUUGUCGUCAGCUCGUGUCGUGAGAUGUUAGGUUAAGUUCUAAAACGAGCGCAACCCUUGUCGUUAGUUACCAGCACGUUAUGGUGGGGACUUUAGCGAGACCGCCAAUUAAAAAUUGGGGGAAGGUGAGGAUUACGUCAAGUCAUCAUGCCCCUUAUGAUCUGGGCUACAAACGUGAACAAUGGCUGGUACAAAGAGUCGCUUAAACGUAGUUUUUGGCUAAUCUCAAAAAAGCAGUCUCAGUUCGGAUUGAAGUCUGCAACUCGUCUUCAUGAAGUUGGAAUCGCUGGUAAUCCCGAAUCAAGUCGUGGUGAAGAAUGUCGUCGUGGGUUUUUGUCCCCGCCCGUC